AGAUACUUGGGCCUCGGACAGUGUCUUGACCUGUAGCUCCUGCAUGUGAUUCGUGAGUGGAGAGGACAUGCCCAGCAUGUGUGUACAGAGUCUUGCAUCUGCCUGGUGCAAGUGCUAAAGGAAAUGCAGAUGGAAGCUCACAGAUGGAAGCCUGCUAAUCAUACAGCUGUUUUUUUGUUGGGACUUCUACUGGAGAACAUUCUUAACUCCUUGAACUGCUUAAACGGUCUCUGAAUACUCUGACCAGAAGUCACCCUGCUAGCUGUGAACCCAGCUUGCCUGAAAGAGGUAGCAUGUUCCUGUGAGGUCGUUCCAGAUACCUCACCGAGAAUUCCAUGUAUGGAAGGAAGACAGAUAAAGGUAGCUCGAUUUGGUGUAAGUAAUUGCAUUUUACUUUCUCCUCUGAGUCCCUCUCGAUCAGUUGGAUCUAAAU
Molecule: long non-coding RNA, 433 nt
Organism: Mustela putorius furo (domestic ferret)
Lineage: Eukaryota; Metazoa; Chordata; Mammalia; Carnivora; Mustelidae
Source: Ensembl